UGGCGAACGGGUGAGUAACGCGUGGGUAAUCUGCCCUGCACUCUGGGAUAAGCCUGGGAAACUGGGUCUAAUACUGGAUAUGACCUUUCUCCUUAUGGGGUUUGGUGGAAAGUUUUUCGGUGUAGGAUGAGCCCGCGGCCUAUCAGCUUGUUGGUGGGGUGAUGGCCUACCAAGGCGACGACGGGUAGCCGGCCUGAGAGGGUGAUCGGCCACAUUGGGACUGAGAUACGGCCCAG
RNAcentral lists this ribosomal RNA (236 nucleotides) under uncultured Actinomycetales bacterium. Its description in RNAcentral is "partial 16S ribosomal RNA". It matches the Rfam family "Bacterial small subunit ribosomal RNA", at positions 96 to 334 of the family's 1533-position model. The record is from RNAcentral. Lineage: Bacteria; Bacillati; Actinomycetota; Actinomycetes; Actinomycetales.